Molecule: long non-coding RNA, 702 nt
Organism: Salmo salar (Atlantic salmon)
Lineage: Eukaryota; Metazoa; Chordata; Actinopteri; Salmoniformes; Salmonidae
Source: RefSeq, a predicted model, not a curated record
GGCCUCUGAGUAUGAGCAGCAGAAACGGAUGGGGGAGGGGAGGCAGAAACAAACUCCGUACACACAGCCAGGCCCUUCCGCAGCCGACCGACUAGUACACAACUUUGCAACACUAUUUGCCUACUAAAAUUUGGUAGUAACAGUCUUGUCCCAUCGCUGCAACUACCGUCCGGACUCGGGAGAGGCGAAGGUCGAGAGCCGGGCGUCCUCCGAAACACAACCCCGCCAAGCCGCACUGCUUCUUGACACAAUGCUCGCUUAACCCGGAAGCCAGCAGCACCGUACAGCUGGUGACCGUGUCGGUGUGCACUGGGCCCGGCCCGCCACAGGAGUCGCUAGAGUGCGAUGGGACAAGGACAACCCGGCCGGCCUAACCCGGACAAUGCUGGGCCAAUUGUGCGCCACCUCAUGGGUCUCCUAGUCGCAGCCGGCUGCGACACAGCCUGGGAUCAAGCAGUGCCUUAGACCACUGUGCCACUCGGGAUGCGCAGCAUUAGUCUCCCCAAAUAGUGUGUCCAUUUAAUUUAACAUCCAUAACACUUCUUAAUAUCUUUAUUUCUCCAACAUGCCAAUAUUUAGAAGUCCACUUUUAGGGGAUGUACACUCACCCCAAGGGGUACUAUAGACACACACAUGAAACGUUUCAUUUAUAUUUUGUUUGUCCCUUCUGUGAGACAUUAAAGUUGUGAUUUUUCAUGCAAA